AUUGAACGCUGGCGGAAUGCUUUACACAUGCAAGUCGAACGGCAGCACGGGGGCAACCCUGGUGGCGAGUGGCGAACGGGUGAGUAAUACAUCGGAACGUGCCCAGUCGUGGGGGAUAACGUAGCGAAAGUUACGCUAAUACCGCAUAUGAUCUACGGAUGAAAGCGGGGGACCGUAAGGCCUCGCGCGAUUGGAGCGGCCGAUGUCAGAUUAGGUAGUUGGUGAGGUAAGGGCUCACCAAGCCGACGAUCUGUAGCUGGUCUGAGAGGACGACCAGCCACACUGGGACUGAGACACGGCCCAGACUCCUACGGGAGGCAGCAGUGGGGAAUUUUGGACAAUGGGCGCAAGCCUGAUCCAGCCAUUCCGCGUGCAGGACGAAGGCCUUCGGGUUGUAAAGCCCUUUUGUUGGGAAAGAAAUCCAGCCGGCUAAUACCUGGUUGGGAUGACGGUACCCAAAGAAUAAGCACCGGCUAACUUCGUGCCAGCCGCCGCCGUAA
RNAcentral lists this ribosomal RNA (500 nucleotides) under uncultured bacterium. Its description in RNAcentral is "partial 16S ribosomal RNA". It matches the Rfam family "Bacterial small subunit ribosomal RNA", at positions 30 to 523 of the family's 1533-position model. The record is from RNAcentral.